GACGAACGCUGGCGGCGUGCUUAACACAUGCAAGUCGAACGGAAAGACCCUGCUUUUGUGGGGUGCUCGAGUGGCGAACGGGUGAGUAACACGUGAGUAACCUGCCCUUGACUUUGGGAUAACUUCAGGAAACUGGGGCUAAUACCGGAUAGGAGCUCCUGCUGCAUGGUGGGGGUUGGAAAGUUUCGGCGGUUGGGGAUGGACUCGCGGCUUAUCAGCUUGUUGGUGGGGUAGUGGCUUACCAAGGCUUUGACGGGUAGCCGGCCUGAGAGGGUGACCGGCCACAUUGGGACUGAGAUACGGCCCAGACUCCUACGGGAGGCAGCAGUGGGGAAUAUUGCACAAUGGGCGGAAGCCUGAUGCAGCAACGCCGCGUGCGGGAUGACGGCCUUCGGGUUGUAAACCGCUUUCGCCUGUGACGAAGCGUGAGUGACGGUGAUGGGUAAAGAAGCACCGGCUAACUACGUG
Molecule: ribosomal RNA, 468 nt
Filed under: uncultured bacterium
Lineage: Bacteria
Description: partial 16S ribosomal RNA
Rfam family: Bacterial small subunit ribosomal RNA
Source: RNAcentral